GCGGAGUCACCAAGGAAAGGCUUCUUCUUGGCCAAUGAGAGGCCAGGGCAGAAGAUAGGAGGCGGGCUUCCGGACAGAACACUCUUCAAGAGGACUCUUACUUCUCCCCAUGCAAAAAGAAAAAAAAUAUGACCGGUAAUCUUCACCCAGAAACUUACCAUGGGAACACUUGCGAUGUGUCACCGAAAGGGAGGUGCCAUUACAUUUCGUGGGCCUUCUGUCCUGUGAAAAAAGACUCGUCUGAAGCUCUCACUCACCUGCGGCUGAACCUGAGGGAAGUCCGGCCUGUUCUCCAACUUCCAAGGGUCAUCGGAGAUGGCCCGAAGCAAG
Long non-coding RNA from Hippocampus comes (tiger tail seahorse), 330 nucleotides. RefSeq lists it as uncharacterized. The record is from RefSeq and is a predicted model, not a curated record. NCBI's taxonomy places the organism in Eukaryota, Metazoa, Chordata, Actinopteri, Syngnathiformes, Syngnathidae. The transcript is spliced from 4 exons.